Marmota flaviventris (yellow-bellied marmot) is the source of this 640-nucleotide long non-coding RNA. RefSeq lists it as uncharacterized. NCBI's taxonomy places the organism in Eukaryota, Metazoa, Chordata, Mammalia, Rodentia, Sciuridae. The record is from RefSeq and is a predicted model, not a curated record.
CGAACCCGGGCCACACGCAUGCCAGGCGAGCACGCUACUGCUUGAGCCACAUCCCCAGCCCCCCCUGACUGAGUUUUAAGGACAAGACAGUGGUCUCAACCAGGGACGAUCUGGCUUCCCAGGGGCCGGUGGUAAUGUCUACGGACAUCUUUGACCCUCACAACUGCAGAGAGUAUUCCUUGGAAGGAGAUUCCCCUAAGUGUUAAUAGGAAGUCUUGGAGAAAAGGCUACUGUAACAGAGCCUCUAAGAGAGGGACAGAGGAAGCUGCGUUUCCCCAACAUUUUGGGCACAAACCAUUUAUUCGGAAGAGUCUUUCUUGGGACCUCUUCAGAGCUGCUUGGACAACAGGGAGCCAUGGGAAAAUGACUCAGGAGCGAGAUCCAAUUUUCAUUGGACAUAACUGGUCCAGUCUACGUAUUGUGAAGACUCAACUGGGAACCAGGGUGGAGACCAGAGACCAAAGGAAUAUUUGGGUGGAGCUGACUCUAUUCCUCUAGGGGCCUGUUAAGUUGCUGAAGCUGGCCUUGAACUUGUGAUCCUCCUGUCUCAGCCUCCCGUGUCACUGGCAUGAGAGGUAUGCGCCACCACAUCUGGCAAGCCGAUGUUACUAUUUCAUGAAUAAAUUUAAAAUUUACUAUC